AGAUUCUGUAUGCCUGUCUUUAAAGGCAGGUAAAUGUCUGGAAAGAUACACACGUGUUAGCAGUGGUUACCUACAGGUAAAGGAGCUGUACAGUAUUCCAUUAUAUGGACGCACCAUCUGUUCCUGGACACUUGGAUAUUUCCUGUCUUUUGCUUCUACAAAUAAUGCUUCAAGGACUACUGCUGAACAUACACUUAUGCAUGGAUGUAUAAUUUUAUCUGUAUAAUAAAGUUUUAGAACUUGAA
Orcinus orca (killer whale) is the source of this 245-nucleotide long non-coding RNA. RefSeq lists it as uncharacterized. NCBI's taxonomy places the organism in Eukaryota, Metazoa, Chordata, Mammalia, Artiodactyla, Delphinidae. The record is from RefSeq and is a predicted model, not a curated record. The transcript is spliced from 2 exons.